Molecule: ribosomal RNA, 490 nt
Filed under: uncultured bacterium
Lineage: Bacteria
Description: partial 16S ribosomal RNA
Rfam family: Bacterial small subunit ribosomal RNA
Source: RNAcentral
AUUGAACGCUGGCGGCAGGCCUAACACAUGCAAGUCGAACGGUAACAGGAAGAAGCUUGCUUCUUUGCUGACGAGUGGCGGACGGGUGAGUAAUGUCUGGGAAACUGCCUGAUGGAGGGGGAUAACUACUGGAAACGGUAGCUAAUACCGCAUAACGUCGCAAGACCAAAGAGGGGGACCUUCGGGCCUCUUGCCAUCGGAUGUGCCCAGAUGGGAUUAGCUAGUAGGUGGGGUAACGGCUCACCUAGGCGACGAUCCCUAGCUGGUCUGAGAGGAUGACCAGCCACACUGGAACUGAGACACGGUCCAGACUCCUACGGGAGGCAGCAGUGGGGAAUAUUGCACAAUGGGCGCAAGCCUGAAGCAGCCAUGCCGCGUGUAUGAAGAAGGCCUUCGGGUUGUAAAGUACUUUCAGCGGGGAGGAAGGGAGUAAAGUUAAUACCUUUGCUCAUUGACGUUACCCGCAGAAGAAGCACCGGCUAACUCCGUG